AUUGAACGCUGGCGGAAUGCUUUACACAUGCAAGUCGAACGGCAGCACGGACUUCGGUCUGGUGGCGAGUGGCGAACGGGUGAGUAACAUAUCGGAACGUAUCCAAUAAUGGGGGAUAACUAAUCGAAAGGUUGGCUAAUACCGCAUACGCCCUACGGGGGAAAGCAGGGGAUCUACGGACCUUGCGUUAAUGGAGCGGCUGAUAUCUGAUUAGCUAGUUGGUGAGGUAAAGGCUCACCAAGGCGACGAUCAGUAGCUGGUCUGAGAGGACGACCAGCCACACUGGAACUGAGACACGGUCCAGACUCCUACGGGAGGCAGCAGUGGGGAAUUUUGGACAAUGGGCGCAAGCCUGAUCCAGCCAUUCCGCGUGAGUGAAGAAGGCCUUCGGGUUGUAAAGCUCUUUCGCAAGGGAAGAAAACUUACCUUCUAAUAAAGAGUGAGGUUGACGGUACCUUGAUAAGAAGCACCGGCUAACUACGUGCCAGCCGCCGCAGUAA
RNAcentral lists this ribosomal RNA (500 nucleotides) under uncultured bacterium. RNAcentral describes it as "partial 16S ribosomal RNA". It matches the Rfam family "Bacterial small subunit ribosomal RNA", at positions 30 to 523 of the family's 1533-position model. The record is from RNAcentral.